AAAGAGUUAUCUUAAAAAAUGUAAGCAAUAUAGAUAUAAAUAUAGUUUAAUUAUAUAAUCUUAAGUAUUAAAAAUGUAUAGUUUUUAAUUGGAAUAUUUUCAAUAAGAUAAACAAGUUAAACAAUAAUAGGAUUAAAAGAUUACCAUUGCCUGCAGAUAAGUGUGAAUGAAUCAAGUUUUUAUAGGAUUUUCAGACAAAUUUUUUGUGUGUUUGGAUUUUUAAGAAUAUAUUUUCACAAAUUUUUUAUUUUAUAUUUUUUAAUAGUCAAAAGAAGAAGAGCUCCAAGGUACCUUCUUCCCAUUGAUACCAAUUCUAGUUCUGAAGGGGAAUCAGACCCAUUGCCCACAGUUUUUAUGGAUGAAGAUAGGACUCAAGACACAGAUAAUAGCACUCCAAAUAAUAAUGCAAUGGAUGAGCAAGGAGAAGAAGAUAUCGAUAACAUUGAAGGACAUGUAGAGCCUACAGAGUCAGAAGAACAUUUGGAACAAGAUGAAGAACAUUUGGAACAAGAGGACGAGGAGGGCCAUGAAGAAGAUGAG
Long non-coding RNA from Bombina bombina (fire-bellied toad), 540 nucleotides. RefSeq lists it as uncharacterized. Lineage: Eukaryota; Metazoa; Chordata; Amphibia; Anura; Bombinatoridae. The record is from RefSeq and is a predicted model, not a curated record. The transcript is spliced from 3 exons.